AACGCUAGCGGCAGGCUUAACACAUGCAAGUAGAACGGUAACAGUCCUUCGGGAGCUGACGAGUUGCGAACGGGUGCGUAACGCGUAUGCAACCUACCUAUAACUGAGGGAUAGCCCAUAGAAAUGUGGAUUAAUACCUCAUAACAACUAAAGAUGGCAUCAUCUUAAGUUUAAAACUCCGGUGGUUAUAGAUGGGCAUGCGUGACAUUAGCUAGUUGGUGAGGUAACUGCUCACCAAGGCAACGAUGUCUAGGGGUUCUGAGAGGAUGAUCCCCCACACUGGUACUGAGACACGGACCAGACUCCUACGGGAGGCAGCAGUGAGGAAUAUUGCGCAAUGGAGGAAACUCUGACGCAGCCAUGCCGCGUGCAGGAUGACUGCCCUAUGGGUUGUAAACUGCUUUUAUAUAGGAAGAACUACAGAUACGUGUAUUUGUUUGACGGUACUAUACGAAUAA
This 458-nucleotide ribosomal RNA is filed under the name uncultured bacterium. Its description in RNAcentral is "bacterial SSU rRNA". It matches the Rfam family "Bacterial small subunit ribosomal RNA", at positions 32 to 489 of the family's 1533-position model. The record is from RNAcentral.